This 553-nucleotide ribosomal RNA is filed under the name uncultured bacterium. RNAcentral's name for it is "bacterial SSU rRNA". It matches the Rfam family "Bacterial small subunit ribosomal RNA", at positions 777 to 1327 of the family's 1533-position model. The record is from RNAcentral.
AAUAGAUACCCGGGUAGUCCACGCCGUAAACGAUGAGUGCUAAGUGUUGGGGGGUUUCCGCCCCUCAGUGCUGCAGCUAACGCAUUAAGCACUCCGCCUGGGGAGUACGGUCGCAAGACUGAAACUCAAAGGAAUUGACGGGGGCCCGCACAAGCGGUGGAGCAUGUGGUUUAAUUCGAAGCAACGCGAAGAACCUUACCAGGUCUUGACAUCCCGGUGACCACUAUGGAGACAUAGUUUCCCCUUCGGGGGCAACGGUGACAGGUGGUGCAUGGUUGUCGUCAGCUCGUGUCGUGAGAUGUUGGGUUAAGUCCCGCAACGAGCGCAACCCUUAUUCUUAGUUGCCAUCAUUUAGUUGGGCACUCUAAGGAGACUGCCGGUGAUAAACCGGAGGAAGGUGGGGAUGACGUCAAAUCAUCAUGCCCCUUAUGACCUGGGCUACACACGUGCUACAAUGGACGGUACAAACGGUUGCCAACCCGCGAGGGGGGAGCUAAUCCGAUAAAACCGUUCUCAGUUCGGAUUGUAGGCUGCAACUCGCCUACAUGAAGCC